GACGAACGCUGGCGGCGUGCUUAACACAUGCAAGUCGAACGGAAAGGCCCUGCUUUUGUGGGGUGCUCGAGUGGCGAACGGGUGAGUAACACGUGAGUAACCUGCCCUUGACUUUGGGAUAACUUCAGGAAACUGGGGCUAAUACCGGAUAGGAGCUCCUGCUGCAUGGUGGGGGUUGGAAAGUUUCGGCGGUUGAGGAUGGACUCGCGGCUUAUCAGCUUGUUGGUGGGGUAGUGGCUUACCAAGGCUUUGACGGGUAGCCGGCCUGAGAGGGUGACCGGCCACAUUGGGACUGAGAUACGGCCCAGACUCCUACGGGAGGCAGCAGUGGGGAAUAUUGCACAAUGGGCGGAAGCCUGAUGCAGCAACGCCGGGUGCGGGAUGACGGCCUUCGGGUUGUAAACCGCUUUCGCCUGUGACGAAGCGUGGGUGACGGUAAUGGGUAAAGAAGCACCGGCUAACUACGU
RNAcentral lists this ribosomal RNA (467 nucleotides) under uncultured bacterium. Its description in RNAcentral is "partial 16S ribosomal RNA". It matches the Rfam family "Bacterial small subunit ribosomal RNA", at positions 28 to 506 of the family's 1533-position model. The record is from RNAcentral.